RNAcentral lists this long non-coding RNA (970 nucleotides) under Sorghum bicolor (sorghum). Its description in RNAcentral is "long non-coding RNA (SBIC_LNC018802)". The record is from RNAcentral. Lineage: Eukaryota; Viridiplantae; Streptophyta; Magnoliopsida; Poales; Poaceae.
CAAUGUAAAAUAGAUAUGAUAUAAAUGUUUGGCUCAAAAUGGCAUGUCAUUAUCCACUAUUAUUCGAAGCAAGAAUUUAAAAAAUUUAGAAAAUCGUAAAGAAGACUAAGAGGGGUCCGGCACAAAGCAAUAUCGUAAUGUAUGUCACAUACACAAUGUUAAGCCUUUAUAGAGUGUGAAGAACAGAAAUUCACAAACACAUCGCUGCAACUCGGCUUCUGUAUUUUAUUUCUACUUUAUACUGCAAUUCCUUUUCUUAGACGAAUUAGCAUAAUGGGGGCAAGGUAAAAUCUAGAUCAACAUGUUCUAUUAUUGGUUGCUACAAGCUGCAGGGUAUCCAAGUAGCUGAGAACAAAAAUAACAAUCAGAACAUGAGAAAACAGAUCAGCCAGGCUGGUUAGCAUGCUCUGUUCAAGAUCUCCAAUGUUUUUAUUGUUUGUAAAAUAUUUGACAAAUCUGAUCAUUGUAGCAUUGAAGACCAAUGAAAUGAAUUAUAGUGAAACACUGCAAUUUAUCUCUCGGCCAAUUUGGCUUUGCCACCAGACCCUGAGGAAUGCAUUGUCAAACCAGUGAUUAUUAGCCAUAAGAAGCUUACAGUUAGAUAGCAGGCUUUGUGUGUUUGUUAUUUUCAAGCACCAGUCCGUUCUCAGGAAGAGGCCCCUUAAACUGCUGGAGGCAAGAGCAAGUGCUUAACCCCUAUUAAAAGGAUAGCAAAUUAGCAAUAUUAACCAUUGUUGGAAACUUGGGAUAUGAGGAGACCAUAAUUUGUGUAACUAAAAUUGAUACGCAAAAAAAAAUACUAAGUUGUAUAAAAAAAAAUUGGUAUCUAAAAUAUAAAUUAAAAGAUGAGGCAAAACCUUUAAAAACUGUACAUAUGGAACUAUUCCAACUGAGAAAAGGUUUUGCAUAGUCAUGGCUGGGAUUACGAAUUUACGAAGACCCAGCCAGGACAGCCUCCGGCCGGCCCAUC